AAGGAUCAGGAGUAAAACUGCCAUGUGAAACUGAGAACGCAUCCGUGAACGAUUCUGCUGGAUCCAAACAGAACCAGAUACACCGUGCAGUACUCCGCAACAUUGCCAACUCUC
This is a long non-coding RNA of Aedes aegypti (yellow fever mosquito), 114 nucleotides long. RefSeq lists it as uncharacterized. Lineage: Eukaryota; Metazoa; Arthropoda; Insecta; Diptera; Culicidae. The transcript is spliced from 2 exons. The record is from RefSeq and is a predicted model, not a curated record.